This is a long non-coding RNA of Protopterus annectens (West African lungfish), 611 nucleotides long. RefSeq lists it as uncharacterized. The transcript is spliced from 2 exons. Lineage: Eukaryota; Metazoa; Chordata; Ceratodontiformes; Protopteridae. The record is from RefSeq and is a predicted model, not a curated record.
UAAUGGUGUAGCAGAUGGCUGUUACUUAAGGUUUUUGUACUGAUCAACAUCUGGGCCACAGCACUGUGUUGGUGUUCAGUUCUGGUACUAAAGUGAUUGUCACAGGCCAGGUGUUUCCUAACCCUUCAAUACAAGUGAUGCCACCCUCAGAACAGGAGAUAUCAGACAAAAGAACAGCCACUGUGACAUGCAUGGUCGAUAAGUUGUCCGUGGCAUUGAAUGACGUGAACUGGAGAGUGGAUGGAGUCGCUGUCACCAGUGGAACCAGUACCGGCCUGCCUAUCAAGAGAUCAGACAACACAUUCAGCCUAAGCAGUUACCUGACAGUCCCUGCUUCUGACUGGGAGACAAACAAAAUCUUCUCUUGUGAAGUCCUGCAAGCUGGAACAGCUUCUGCAGCAACUAAUAAAAUACGAUUUUCUGAAUGCUAGUUAUAAAAUCAUAGAUUGUCCUUCAUUUAUGUUUUCAUCCUGCUUUUACUUAAUGUCAAGCAGUUCACUGUUUUCUUUUUCUGCUUGUAAAGGCAGUUGAUUUUUACUUGUAAUGCAUUCUAUAGCUUACUUGUUAUGAAUCUUGUAAUCUUGUUUGUCAAUAAAUUAACUUUAGCUGAA